AGCGAACGUUAGCGGCGCGCCUAACACAUGCAAGUCGCACGAGAAAGGGGGGCAACCCCCGGUACAGUGGCGGCACGGGUGAGUAACACGUGGGUGAUCUGCCCAGAAGAAGGGGAGUAACCUCUCGAAAGGGGGGCGUAAUACCGCAUAGGACCACCGGGGCGUUUGGCUCUGUGGUGAAAGGGGGCCGUCUGUUUACAAGCUCCUGCUUCUGGAUGAGCCCGCGUCCCAUCAGCUAGUUGGUAGGGGUAAUGGCCUACCAAGGCUACGACGGGUAGCUGGUCUAAGAGGAUGGCCAGCCACACUGGAACUGAGACACGGCCCAGACUCCUACGGGAGGCAGCAGUGGGGGAAUAUUGGACAAUGGGCGAAAGCCUGAUCCAGCAAUGCCGCGUGAGUGAUGAAGGCCUUAGGGUUGUAAAGCUCUUUUACCAGGGAUGAUAAUGACAGUACCUGGAGAAUAAGCUCCGGCUAACUCCGUGCCAGCAGCCGCGGU
Molecule: ribosomal RNA, 496 nt
Filed under: uncultured bacterium
Lineage: Bacteria
Description: bacterial SSU rRNA
Rfam family: Bacterial small subunit ribosomal RNA
Source: RNAcentral